CCUACGGGUGGCAGCAGUGAGGAAUAUUGGUCAAUGGACGAGAGUCUGAACCAGCCAAGUAGCGUGAAGGAUGACUGCCCUAUGGGUUGUAAACUUCUUUUAUAUGGGAAUAAAAUGUUCCACGUGUGGGAUUUUGUAUGUACCAUAUGAAUAAGGAUCGGCUAACUCCGUGCCAGCAGCCGCGGUAAUACGGAGGAUCCGAGCGUUAUCCGGGUUUAUUGGGUUUAAAGGGAGCGUAAGAGGAUUGUUAAGUCAGUUGUGAAAGUUUGCGGCUCAACCGUAAAAUUGCAGUUGAAACUGGCAGUCUUGAGUACAGUAGAGGUGGGCGGAAUUCGUGGUGUAGCGGUGAAAUGCUUAGAUAUCACGAAGAACUCCGAUUGCGAAGGCAGUUCACUGGACUGCAACUGACACUGAGGCUCGAAAGUGUGGGUAUCAAACAGGAUUAGAUACCCCUGUAGUC
RNAcentral lists this ribosomal RNA (460 nucleotides) under uncultured bacterium. Its description in RNAcentral is "partial 16S ribosomal RNA". It matches the Rfam family "Bacterial small subunit ribosomal RNA", at positions 338 to 795 of the family's 1533-position model. The record is from RNAcentral.